RNAcentral lists this microRNA precursor (92 nucleotides) under Canis lupus familiaris (dog). Its description in RNAcentral is "mir-8799 microRNA precursor family". It matches the Rfam family "mir-8799 microRNA precursor family". The record is from Rfam by way of RNAcentral. Lineage: Eukaryota; Metazoa; Chordata; Mammalia; Carnivora; Canidae. RNAcentral also lists the same sequence under 1 other name.
GGGGGAGCACCGGAUCCUGGGCUGUGUCCCCUAACGCCCUGGGCUCCAGGGCCUGCGCCUCUGGAACCACGUUUAGGGCAGUGCAGCCCCCU